Molecule: long non-coding RNA, 1139 nt
Filed under: Lonchura striata (white-rumped munia)
Lineage: Eukaryota; Metazoa; Chordata; Aves; Passeriformes; Estrildidae
Description: domestica (Bengalese finch) lncRNA (ENSLSDG00000001787.1)
Source: RNAcentral
AGAAAUCCUGGAAAUCCUUGAGCUGGGAAAUGGGAAAUGGAACGGGGAAAUCCCUGACUGAGGUGGGAAAUGGGAAAUCCGUGAGAUGGGGAAUCCUGAAGAUCCGCGAGGUUGGAAAUGAGAAAUCCCCGAGGUGGGAGCUGGGAAAUCCUUGAGGUGGAAACUGGGAAAUCCUGGAAAUUCCCGAGGUGGAACUGGGAAAUCUCUGCCCAGCUGCUGGGUCGGGUGAAUGAUCAACCAGGGCAGGGGCGGGAUUGCAAAAUCCCCCGGUGUCCUUGGGGUGGGGAGAAGCUGAAUUUUCUCCCUCUGGGAUCACACAUGACCCCCAAAAAAAAACCAGAGCUGCUUGGCAAGAAGGGAUGGAAACCCCCGGGACCCUGCGGGGUCCGCGGCAGCGCUGGGGUGGGACGGGACAGAGCUGGGACAGAGCUGGGGCUGGGCUGGGGCUGCUCCAGCCCCAGUCCUUCCUCACCCCAGGGGCUGGGGCAGAGCUGGGGCUGGGCCAGGGAUUCUCUCGGACCGGGGAUUCCCUCGGGCCGGGAAUUCCCUCGGGCCGGGGAUUCUCUUGGACCGGGGAUUCCCUCGGGCCGGGGAUUCCCUUGGGGCCCGGGAUUCCCUCGGGGCCGGGGAUUCUCUCGGGCCGGGGAUUCUCUCGGACCGGGGAUUCCCUCGGGGCGCUCCCAGCCCAGUCCCUCCUCACGGCCCCACCCCGCAGGGACCAGGCCGAGGCGCGGCGCUCCAAGACCAAGGAGGCGCGGAAGCGGCGCGAGGAGCGGCUGCAGGCCAAGAAGGAGGAGAUCAUCAAAACCCUGUCCAAGGAGGAGGAGGCCAAGAAGUGACCGACAUCAAAACCCUCUCCCGAGGAGGAGAAGGAGUGACCACGGGCUGUCCGAGCGGGUCCCAUCCCCGGGAUCCAAUAAAGCAUCCCGGGCAAUUCCCGAGUCCUGUGUCUGUGGGAGGGAAUUUCUGCCGGGAAUUGGGUGUGGGGCCCUUCCCCACAGCCCCUGAGCCCCCCUGAGGGGCUGGGGGAGGUUUUGGGGGGCUGGGGGAGGUUUUGGGGGGCUCAGCACCCCCACAGAGGGGAUGGACCCCGGGCUGGGGCUCACGGCAGGGAACCCCAGGACAGACAGACGGACACG